AUGUACGACGCGUACAACCCGAUUACUCCGCGCCAUACGCACCCACCUGACGGCCACCCGCUAUGUUUUGUUAGUC
Molecule: small RNA, 76 nt
Filed under: Xanthomonas populi
Lineage: Bacteria; Pseudomonadati; Pseudomonadota; Gammaproteobacteria; Lysobacterales; Lysobacteraceae
Description: sX9 sRNA
Rfam family: Xanthomonas sRNA sX9
Source: RNAcentral